CCAUGUCGCCCCCUUUCCCUUUCUUAUCGUCUUUCCCUCGUCCUUCCAUCCUCCAUCAAUCACAAAACCUUGCACAAAUCCGUGAAAAGUCAAUAAAUCAACCAUGAAUUCAUACUUUCUAUCUUCCCCAACCGCGAAUCAUGCCGAUUUCAUUACUGUUUCAUCACACAAAUUCGAAAUCCCUAAUCUAAAACCCUAAGACUCAAAGAUGCAACUUCGAAUCUCCGGAUUUCCGUUGUGCUCUUUUAAAUUGGAGCAUGCAUGAGCAUAUCUCAGAACCUCAUCAUGAUUAUUCGAGGUCCAGAGGUCAAAUGCAAUGACUAUUGGGCAUCGGGGCUCUACCCAAUGGGUUUUUCCAUCAACAGUCACAUUCCCUCUUCUCAAGUAAAACUCUCAUUGAUUUUUCUCCUCUUCUCAUUUCUGAUUUUACUCAAUCAUGCUUGAAUCAUCUAGUAGUCAUCACUCUCCACUAGCGAGUUUAAAUCUGUUUUGAAAUCCUAAGGCUUCAAUGGCCACUAUAAAUUAGGGCUUUCAAUGCUCUCACCUAACAACAACCUACCCCUAAUACAACACAGAAAAAUGAAAGAGAAUUAAACCCUAGAUUACUCACUGAUUUCUUUUCUUCUCCGAUUUCGAGUUUGCACACUAUUCGAGUUUGAGUUCAGAGUCUUAAAAUCUAAAAACAAGAAGCUCUUUGGUUUGGUUUACUGCCCAAAAGAAGGUCAGUGAACCUCAACCUUUCUUUUGAUCAUUUAAUUAUAUAUUAUAUGUACUCUGUUAUAUCUUGUUAAAUGGUUCUAGCUCUAAUAUGUUAUUGUCAAUCAUCUCUAUAUGCUUUGCUAUCAAUUCAUAAUAGUUCAUCAACUUUAGAACUAUAAGUUCCUUAAUAUUCUGAAAUUAGAGUCAUGUACUAGUUAUUUGUUCUGGUAACCCUAAUGAAUAUAUCUUGGGAUAACUCGUAUAUUAAACUUCUGAAAGAGCUUGCAAAUGACCCCAGUUGUUGUUUUAAUCUUCUGGUUUUCUGCUCUCAUACAUGCUAUGUUAGUUUGCCUUAGUAUUUUUGGAAUGAUUCAUUUGAUAUCUGGAAUAAGUGGAUGUGAAUACAUGAUGUUAAGUAUAAGGUUGUCACUUAAUCUAAGCAUGUUAGUUUAUAAUGCUUGAACGGUCUCCUUCUUUAAUGUGUUCUUCUGUGAUUCUAUAACUUUAAAAAAUUAGGGUAAGAACCUUCUAUCACCUCCCAUAACUAUUUUAUCACAUCUGUGAACUUCACUAUAUAAGAUAAUGCCUUAACUGGAUUAAGCUCUAAGGAAACAGACGCAUUUCAGUUCUGCCUUCUGCUAUCUACAUAGUUUAAGUCGUGUCUCUAAACCUAACUGAAAUUGCAUAUGUAAUAGUUGAAUGCCAUCUUAUAGAAUCAAGUGUUGCAAAACUUCAUUAUGACAGACCGGUCUACUUAGCUUAUAACUAAGAUAUGCUUACAUAGUAUAAACUCUCACUCUUCAGGACCACUAUAAUGGCAAUAUUAGUUUAAUCCAAUGUUGUUUGGUACUCAAUCGUAUUGAAUGUUCUAGUAUUAGUUAGAAUACAACAUGUGCACAUUUUAAUGUCACCCAUUGGAAAAUUCGAACUCAUCCAUGUCUUAAAAAGAAACUGCUGCUGAUAUAUCAUGUUUGUGACUGAGUUUCCAGAACAUUGAAACAUACUAAGUUCACUGAAGCUUACCCAUAGACUUAGAAGAAGCCCUUUACAUGUCUAUCUACCCUAUGUGAAUAUAGGACUAUAUAUUUAACUCUUACCCAACCUAGAUGGAAUGAAGAUCUCUUUAGAAAUCACUAGCCAAUGUAUCUGCCUGCCCCUGUUUUCUUAAGAACUUUGAAGUGAAUUGUUAAAUUUCCCACUUUGUAAGAAGUGGAAUGUUAGUCUGUAUGUAUAUUUCCAUUAAGUAUAUAUGUGAUUAUAGUUAAUGAUCUUUCAUAAGCAUGAGCCUGCUAAAAGGAUUAUUGAGAGUAAUACACUUGAUGCCUCUUGUACUCCUUUGAACCACAUGACUUACCUAUUCUAAGUUCUUAUAUUCUUGUGUUGUUGUUUACUCAUUGUUUGCUAGAACCCAUAAUUGAUCAUGUUUGAGUGCUCUUAAGCUUGAUAAGAUUACAUGAUAGUACUACAUUCUUGCUUGAAAAUCCUUAGAUGUUUGGUGAUGCUUUGGUUUUCUGGAUAGUUAUUGAAAUAUACCUCUCCUUGUAUAUAAUCAUCACAAUGGUAUUGGAGUUUACUUUGAGUACCUAAUUAGCACCUAAACCUGCAGAGAAGAGUAAGCAUGAGUAGUUAGGGGUAUUUGGGAGUAGAAUUUAGUUCUUGGUUGAGCUACUCUCAUUGACACAAGCACUGCUCGGGGUCCUUUAGACCAUUGUGAACUUUUAAGUGCUAGGGAUCCAAAGAUUACCGUGUCCAUGGGCGAAAUUUUAUCCUAAGUCGUUAAUCUAUUGACAUUUUCUAAUCUCUUUAGGUUUAAUGUUCAAUGGAAAUAAAGUUUUUUUAUUGUAAAUUACCUUAUUAUAUGUGACUCCAUAUUACUUUCUGGAUUCUUAGUUACUGUCGAUGGCUACAACUUUAUCUUAGGCCUAAAUUGAUGUUACUUGUGUUUAUGUAUUGUAUUAGGUCAUAUAUCUAAUAACCUUCUCUAGUUUUACGCAUGUGUCUGAGUUGGGCCUGCCGAAUUCUCAAAGAACUCAAGACCAAAUUCUACCAUGAACUUGGAGGUCGUCUGAAGCUGAUGUUGUUCUCUUCAUUUUCUGCUUGGCCCAAUUUCUUUCAGGCCCGCACUAUGAGUCCAUUCCUUUCAUCUAUCGCUUUAUUAAGUUUACUAUUAUUUUCAUAUGUAUAUAACAC
Molecule: long non-coding RNA, 2889 nt
Filed under: Nicotiana tabacum (common tobacco)
Lineage: Eukaryota; Viridiplantae; Streptophyta; Magnoliopsida; Solanales; Solanaceae
Description: long non-coding RNA (NTAB_LNC005358)
Source: RNAcentral